Molecule: ribosomal RNA, 497 nt
Filed under: uncultured bacterium
Lineage: Bacteria
Description: partial 16S ribosomal RNA
Rfam family: Bacterial small subunit ribosomal RNA
Source: RNAcentral
GAUGAACGCUGGCGGCGUGCCUAAUACAUGCAAGUCGAGCGAACAGACGAGGAGCUUGUUCCUCUGACGUUAGCGGCGGACGGGUGAGUAACACGUGGAUAACCUACCUAUAAGACUGGGAUAACUUCGGGAAACCGGAGCUAAUACCGGAUAAUAUAUUGAACCGCAUGGUUCAAUAGUGAAAGACGGUUUUGCUGUCACUUAUAGAUGGAUCCGCGCCGCAUUAGCUAGUUGGUAAGGUAACGGCUUACCAAGGCGACGAUGCGUAGCCGACCUGAGAGGGUGAUCGGCCACACUGGAACUGAGGCACGGUCCAGACUCCUACGGGAGGCAGCAGUAGGGAAUCUUCCGCAAUGGGCGAAAGCCUGACGGAGCAACGCCGCGUGAGUGAUGAAGGUCUUCGGAUCGUAAAACUCUGUUAUUAGGGAAGAACAAAUGUGUAAGUAACUAUGCACGUCUUGACGGUACCUAAUCAGAAAGCCACGGCUAACUACGUG